CAGCAGCCGCGGGAAUACAGAGGGUGCGAGCGUUUAUCGGAUUUACUGGGCGUAAAGCGUGCGUAGGCGGCUUUUUAAGUCGGAUGUGAAAUCCCUGAGCUUAACUUAGGAAUUGCAUUCGAUACUGGGAAGCUAGAGUAUGGGAGAGGAUGGUAGAAUUCCAGGUGUAGCGGUGAAAUGCGUAGAGAUCUGGAGGAAUACCGAUGGCGAAGGCAGCCAUCUGGCCUAAUACUGACGCUGAGGUACGAAAGCAUGGGGAGCAAACAGGAUUAGAUACCCCCGUAGUCCCUGUCUCUUAUAA
This 301-nucleotide ribosomal RNA is filed under the name uncultured bacterium. RNAcentral's name for it is "partial 16S ribosomal RNA". It matches the Rfam family "Bacterial small subunit ribosomal RNA", at positions 509 to 809 of the family's 1533-position model. The record is from RNAcentral.